UUGAAGACGACGACGUUGAUAGGCCGGGUGUGUAAGCGCAGCGAUGCGUUGAGCUAACCGGUACUAAUGAACCGUGAGGCUUAACCUU
This 88-nucleotide ribosomal RNA is filed under the name Escherichia coli. Its description in RNAcentral is "partial 23S ribosomal RNA". It matches the Rfam family "Bacterial large subunit ribosomal RNA", at positions 2838 to 2925 of the family's 2925-position model. RNAcentral also lists the same sequence under 32 other names. Lineage: Bacteria; Pseudomonadati; Pseudomonadota; Gammaproteobacteria; Enterobacterales; Enterobacteriaceae. The record is from RNAcentral.